RNAcentral lists this ribosomal RNA (253 nucleotides) under uncultured bacterium. RNAcentral's name for it is "partial 16S ribosomal RNA". It matches the Rfam family "Bacterial small subunit ribosomal RNA", at positions 524 to 776 of the family's 1533-position model. The record is from RNAcentral.
CACGAACGGUCCAAACGUUAAUCGGAAUCACUGGGCUUAAAGGGUGCGUAGGCGGCGCGGAAAGUUGGGUGUGAAAUCCCUCGGCUCAACCGAGGAAUUGCGUUCAAAACUACCGUGCUUGAGGGUGAUAGAGGUGGGCGGAACUUAGGGUGGAGCGGUGAAAUGCGUUGAUAUCCUAAGGAACACCGGUGGCGAAAGCGGCUCCCUGGAUCUCUUCUGACGCUGAGGCACGAAAGCUAGGGUAGCAAACGGG